UUAUGACAUGGUUUUCAUCAUCCACUCUUCUUGGAUCUGUCCUUACACGUAGCGGUACCAGAAACUUAACAUGGCCAAAUGACAGCAUAGCAUUACAGUAGUUAUUGAUUUGGUGAUCCCGAACAAAGUUCUUCGGUAUCGUCUCAUGUGUGUUUCUAUGGCAUGGUGUUCAAAUUGUUUCUGGUAGUUGGGGCGGCUGUUGUGGUGGCGGUGCUUGGUGCGGUUGCAUAGAUGUGUAGACAUUGA
This 246-nucleotide long non-coding RNA is filed under the name Helianthus annuus (common sunflower). RNAcentral's name for it is "hypothetical non coding rna". The record is from RNAcentral. Lineage: Eukaryota; Viridiplantae; Streptophyta; Magnoliopsida; Asterales; Asteraceae.